This is a non-coding RNA of Triticum urartu, 827 nucleotides long. The record is from RefSeq and is a predicted model, not a curated record. Lineage: Eukaryota; Viridiplantae; Streptophyta; Magnoliopsida; Poales; Poaceae.
ACGCGCACUCAUGAUUCGUGAAACGUGUCUCCGUCGAAGCCGCAUGCGUGGGAACGCAUGGCUGUGGGGGCCCACCCACCGCUCGCCAGCGCACCUGCCUUAUCACCUCUCAUUCUUUUCUCGUCCAUCCACAAAUCUACAAGACAAAGCCGCCAUUUUUGCCCCCAAAGCUCAUACCGUCAAGAACAACCCACCUCACACGCUAGCCAUGGUUGUACAUCGCCGUGCUUAGACUCCAUGUAGCGCUCGCCCACCCUGUCUGUCAAGGAUGGCGCCCCCUCCCCCCGAGCUCUCCCUUUUCUGAUCUGGCGUGAUGCUAGAACGGCGGGUGACUAGAAAUGUUGGGACCGUAUUCAACGUUUGCCGAAACCGGCUCGUGCUAGUCGAUGGUGGCGUGAGCUGGAGCCGCCGACACCAGAGUUUUUGCUACAACCAUGACGACUGUGGGAUGGAACCGAUCAACAGUAGAAGCUAGCACACAAUCGGCGGCGGCGCUGCAGUCCCGGUGGCCAUGAGACGAGGGACGGCAAGCUGACAACAGCGCCGGUCCCGCCGGGGCUGCCGACGCCGAUGAACGCAUUUCCCGCAUCUAGCGAAGGAGCAACCCGACAGAGGAGGCGUGGAGGCGUGGUCUGGUGGUGACUACGCACUUUUCAGGGAUGGGACCCGACAGAGGAGGCGUGGUCUGGUAGUGACUAUGCACUUUCUAGUGGUGGGAGAUUAGAGGACCGGAUCUGACGGUUAGGGAGAAAAGUAUCGAAUGGAGUAGGGUAUUACACCACAACGGUGGCCCGAACCAGUAUAAACCCUGUGUCUCUUGUGUUGUC